AACGAACGCUGGCGGCGUGGAUUAGGCAUGCAAGUCGAACGAGAAUCUGGAGGUUCAAGUUUUCGGACAAGAACUUUCGGAGGAAAGUGGCGGAAGGGUGAGUACAACAUGGAUAAUCUACCUUCAAGUUGGGUAUAGCUUCCCGAAAGGGGAGAUAAUCCCGAAUGUGGUGAUCCGGCGCCUGUCGGAGAAUCCAAAGGUGGGGACCGCAAGGCCUGCCGCUUGAAGAUGAGUCCGUGCACUAUCAGCUAGUUGGUGAGGUAAUGGCUCACCAAGGCGAUGACGGUUAGCUGGUCUGAGAGGAUGGUCAGCCACACUGGGACUGAGAUACUGCCCAGACUCCUACGGGAGGCUGCAGUCGAGAAUCAUUCGCAAUGGCGCAAGCCUGACGGUGCGACGUCGCGUGGAGGAUGAAGGUCUUCGGAUUGUAAACUCCUGUCAUGUGGGAUAAAUGGCCAGGGCAUGAAUAGUGCCUUGG
This 478-nucleotide ribosomal RNA is filed under the name uncultured bacterium. Its description in RNAcentral is "bacterial SSU rRNA". It matches the Rfam family "Bacterial small subunit ribosomal RNA", at positions 29 to 475 of the family's 1533-position model. The record is from RNAcentral.